This 1068-nucleotide ribosomal RNA is filed under the name Niallia taxi. RNAcentral's name for it is "bacterial SSU rRNA". It matches the Rfam family "Bacterial small subunit ribosomal RNA", at positions 34 to 1086 of the family's 1533-position model. The record is from RNAcentral. Lineage: Bacteria; Bacillati; Bacillota; Bacilli; Caryophanales; Bacillaceae.
CGGCUGGCGGCGUGCCUAUACAUGCAAGUCGAGCGGACUUAAAAAGCUUGCUUUUUAAGUUAGCGGCGGACGGGUGAGUAACACGUGGGCAACCUGCCUGUAAGACUGGGAUAACUUCGGGAAACCGGAGCUAAUACCGGAUAAUCCUUUCCUACUCAUGUAGGAAAGCUGAAAGACGGUUUACGCUGUCACUUACAGAUGGGCCCGCGGCGCAUUAGCUAGUUGGUGAGGUAACGGCUCACCAAGGCGACGAUGCGUAGCCGACCUGAGAGGGUGAUCGGCCACACUGGGACUGAGACACGGCCCAGACUCCUACGGGAGGCAGCAGUAGGGAAUCUUCCGCAAUGGACGAAAGUCUGACGGAGCAACGCCGCGUGAGUGAUGAAGGUUUUCGGAUCGUAAAACUCUGUUGUUAGGGAAGAACAAGUACGAGAGUAACUGCUCGUACCUUGACGGUACCUAACCAGAAAGCCACGGCUAACUACGUGCCAGCAGCCGCGGUAAUACGUAGGUGGCAAGCGUUGUCCGGAAUUAUUGGGCGUAAAGCGCGCGCAGGCGGUCCUUUAAGUCUGAUGUGAAAGCCCACGGCUCAACCGUGGAGGGUCAUUGGAAACUGGGGGACUUGAGUGCAGAAGAGAAGAGUGGAAUUCCACGUGUAGCGGUGAAAUGCGUAGAGAUGUGGAGGAACACCAGUGGCGAAGGCGACUCUUUGGUCUGUAACUGACGCUGAGGCGCGAAAGCGUGGGGAGCAAACAGGAUUAGAUACCCUGGUAGUCCACGCCGUAAACGAUGAGUGCUAAGUGUUAGAGGGUUUCCGCCCUUUAGUGCUGCAGCAAACGCAUUAAGCACUCCGCCUGGGGAGUACGGCCGCAAGGCUGAAACUCAAAGGAAUUGACGGGGGCCCGCACAAGCCGUGGAGCAUGUGGUUUAAUUCGAAGCAACGCGAAGAACCUUACCAGGUCUUGACAUCUCCUGACAUCCUAGAGAUAGGACGUUCCCCUUCGGGGGACAGGAUGACAGGUGGUGCAUGGUUGUCGUCACUCGUGUCUUGAGAUGUUGGGUUAAGUC